Molecule: ribosomal RNA, 427 nt
Filed under: uncultured prokaryote
Description: bacterial SSU rRNA
Rfam family: Bacterial small subunit ribosomal RNA
Source: RNAcentral
UGGGGAAUCUUCCGCAAUGGACGAAAGUCUGACGGAGCAACGCCGCGUGAGUGAAGAAGGCCUUCGGGUCGUAAAGCUCUGUUAUUAGGGAAGAACGUGUUAUGUGUAAAUAAUGCAUAGCAGUGACGGUACCUAAGGAGGAAGCCACGGCUAACUACGUGCCAGCAGCCGCGGUAAUACGUAGGUGGCGAGCGUUGUCCGGAAUUAUUGGGCGUAAAGCGCGCGCAGGGGGGAUCAUAAGUCUUUUGUAAAAGUGCGGGGCUCAACCCCGUAAAGCGACGGAUACUGUGAUUCUUGAGUGCAGGAGAGGAAAGCGGAAUUCCCAGUGUAGCGGUGAAAUGCGUAGAUAUUGGGAGGAACACCAGUGGCGAAGGCGGCUUUCUGGACUGUGUCUGACACUGAGGCGCGAAAGCUAGGGGAGCGAACG